This 72-nucleotide transfer RNA is filed under the name bacterium. RNAcentral's name for it is "tRNA-Glu". It matches the Rfam family "tRNA". Rfam says of the family: Transfer RNA (tRNA) molecules are approximately 80 nucleotides in length. Their secondary structure includes four short double-helical elements and three loops (D, anti-codon, and T loops). The record is from RNAcentral.
GGCCUGUUCGUCUAGUGGUUAGGACGCCGGCCUCUCACGCCGGUAACACGGGUUCGAGUCCCGUACGGGUCA